ACACCGGCGCACAGCUGAAGGCCGCACAGAAAGAAAACACACAAUAUUUUCCGCCUCCCCCUGACUGUUUUUCGCUUUUUUUCCUAUAUUACCGUCAUGCCGUUUGACACUGUAGGGGGGCUGCCCCCAAUGCCGACGCACGCGAGAGGCGCCACUCUGUACCAUCCCCGGCAGCCUCAGAUGCUAAUGGUCAAGCGCGCUGCUCCGCCGCGUGCAGCAGCAGCCGCCUCGGCAACACUGCGAUCCUCGUUCUAUCUGUUCGGGAAAUCCGGUGACUGUAGUGAAAGUGGUGAGGAGAGCGACGGUGUAAUACCACCAAUGUCGGGGCCGGGCUCAUCACCCAAGGCGCUCGUGCCUUAUGCGUCCAACAAUGCCCUGCCCCCAAACCCUUGGCGGCAACGAACAACCGUGGAUGACUUGGAGAGGGCGCAACGCCGAAACGCCCGCGGUGUCGCACAGUUCAGGCCUGUCCUGCAAGCCGGUGGAGAGACCUCAGACAGCCCAUUGAGUGAAUCGAAGCCGCUGCUGGAGCCGUACCUCUACGCGCAAGACCUGGCGCGAGCUGCAACCGUGGAUACAUGGCACUUGCGCCGCAGCCGAUACUUGCAACGACUUCGAAACGGUGCCACCACUUCGCGGGAGGUGGGUGUGGCUGACGGCGGCCCCCGGUGCCACUCUAGCCACCUAGACACUGGGAUGUCUGCCUUGCCGAGACUUGGCAGCGGUGAUGACUACCCCACUAACACGCGUCAUAGUCUGAACGCGGCUGAAAAGAACGCCCUCGACAGUCUCCGAACCCGCACAUCAUCCACAACACCGACAACGCUGCCGCUUCUCGCUCCACCCUCACCGGUGGAGUCAGCCGAGAUCACGAAGGAGUCCGCCGUCAGCCGAACUGACGCCAGUGCAUCCGGGUGGCGAAUGAGGAGCGGCGCCAACGGCGCCCCUCCGCUGCUCAGCGGAGCAAACCCAAAUGUGCUGGCGGUGCGCUGCCUCUUUCAGGCAGCCCGCAUGGAAGCUGCAGCUGCUGCGGCUGGCAACGCCGACUGGGCGGUGCCGUCGUUCCCAGAGCCUGCUGAUGAGGUUGUGUCCUCUCUCUCCGCGCAGAACACGAGCGAGAGUCACCGGUGGCAGCCGCGCGCGUCGCUGACUCACAAGCCGACAGGGGCACGCCUCAAGGGCCAUGCAGACGUCAUGCCCUCGGACUAUAGGGAUGCUGUCGGCCCGGAAGUCGACACCGACACGUUCCCAAAUGUUGCCGCUGCUUCCGGUGCUGCCAGCGCCGCGCCUCUGGGAUUGCUGGGCAACUGGUUCAUUGACGACGCCACAUGCGCGUUCUUUGGCUGCUGGGACACCGAUCGCAACGAGGAGGAGCUCGCGAAGACCUCCCAUUCUACGGUGGCGCCACCGUCAGAGCACGGCGUGGCCGACAUCCUGCGCGAUCGAAUGCACCAAAGGGUGGCCACCUUUACUUCCUCUUCAAAGUACACGCUGGAUGAGCCUCCCAUGGCAGCGAAGACACACGCGAUUCUGGGAAAAGCUCGGCUGGCCACCAACACAUCCACGCAGGCCCUUCUCAUCGAAGCAGCAAGGUCGGAGAGACGCUCACGAGCCGCAGCCGGCGCCGAGGCAUGGCCGGCACAGCCGGCGUCUGCAACAUCUCAGAAUCUUUUGCGAGAGAUGCGGCGGCUUCUCUAUGCGGAGGAGUACGAGCGCGGCCUGCUGAGCCAGCUUGCCCAGCAGUCCUCUCCGACGCGUUGGUACUCGACGCUGCUGCCGAACGGCAAAGACGGCAUUCGCUUCCGCCUCCUCAUUCCACCGACCAUGGCCGAUGACGUAGCGGUGCAUGACCGCCUCUACGGCGCCAUACGGCGCGCUUCGCAGGCGAUUGCGCAACCUCGUCGCGACGCGGCUGCAGCAGAGGCAGCCCGCCGCCGCGCACCUCUGCCCGUGCUCGACAAGAGGAGCAUCGACCAUUCCUUCUGUGCCGCUGACGACGCACAGGUCAUGGUGGAGAGGGCCGGUGCCGAGAAGACGCUUCUGUUUAAAAGAUGGACCAGCCUCCACGAAAACCUCUCCGCCCAGCUCCGCCUCUUCACCGAGGAGGUGGAGCAGCGUCGCAGGCUGCUAGGCGAGUUCCUUUCUUGCAAGCACCCUUUCCCAUGCAUGUGCCUCAGCUGCGAUCUGGAGGUACUCGCCAUGUCAGCCGUGCAGCUGGAGCCCACAGUGAAACCCGCCUGCUGGUACGCCUCGGUUGUGCUCAGUCGCCACAAGGACGUAUUGCAGAAGGAGCUGUUGGCACGUUACCGUGCGGAGCGUCAUCGCCUCUACGACCUCUUCAAGGUGGAGUUCAGCGCGCUACACACCUACAAGAAACUCGUGUCGGAUGAGGCGCGUCGGUUUAGGCAGAUGAUACGGUAUCAUGAGUUUUGCCUCCGUGCGGCAGCGUCGCGCAAAUGCGAGCCGCAGCAGCCGCUCAGCGAAGACUUGCCACCGGCCGAUGUUGUGACGCCAAGACCCUCCUCUGCUGGCUCCACCGCACUCACGCCGGAGCAGACGGCGCUGCUGGAAGUCUUUGACAAGUCUGCAGCUGCGCCUCCGAUGCAUGCACACUUGCUCCACCGCGGUGGCGCGCGCAUGUGGCGGUUGCGGCAGCGUCGACUGCGCUGCUGCGCCGCCUUCGACUCCCCUUUCUUCUCGUAUCUGCUGUACACAGAAGUCCUGACGACCGUCGCCGCAGAGGAGGAGGUGCGCACCAUGCGGAUGGCGUCAGAGACGGCCGAGCGCGCGGAGCUGAAGGCGUCUAUGAUGGCCGAGGAGCCGUUUGUCCGCCUCAGUGAGAGCGAGCGGCGAGCCCGCGUACGGAUAAGCGCGCAGCGGGAUGAAGCGUACAACGCCUUGUGCGCUGGGCCUUUCGUCGAGCUGCAGGCGGCCCACGCGGCAGAGCUGCAAACAGCACAGGUUGCGGCGUACGCCAAGUCGUGCGAGGAGGCCCGGCAGAGCUUCGUGGUCGCUGCGGUGGCGGAGAAGGUGGCAGCCGAGGUGGGGGAAAUGAACUGGUACCGCCAGUUUGUGUUCGAAAUGCGACAGCGCUCCUUGACCCUGUUGGUCGCCGGCCGCUCUGCCGCGCAGGCGACGGCGGCGUCGCGGGAGUGGUUAGGCCGUCAGCAGCACGUGUCACUGUUUAACAGCGAGCAACGAUUGCGCGACCGCGUUGCGCUGGUGGAGGAGCCGGAUGCGCGUGUGCGCAUAACGGCGGCUGCCGAAGCGUCUUUGAGGCACGCACGCAAGCGCGAAACUUGUCGAUUGAGCGAGGAGGCGGCGGACAUGCGAAGGGCUGUGCAGCGUCUUGCGGAGUCGGCUCAGUGCGCACACGAUGCGGAGGAGGCGGCCGUACGCGCACAGCUGCAGCGGGAGGAGCGUGCGGCGGAUCCGAGCAAGCGCCCCAGCGCCAAGAUGCGAGCCGACACCGUGAACUCCUUUUUCAGGAUGACAGCAGAGAUUGAGGAGGACUUCGAUGCGUUCUUGCCAAGUCUCGGCAGUGACUCGUGAGUGUCUGCGCUUCCACAAAACAGCGCGGUGCCUUUUCCACGCCCUUAUAUGUGUUUGAUGUAAAGCAAGCGCGCCCCAAGCGCGCUAUCGUUCUCUCUGUCUCCGUGUUCUUUUUCAUUUCAAUGCUUGGGGCGGUGCUGAUGCCCAUCUGUGGAGCACUCGUUCUCUGCUUCGACUGCCCCAUUGAAAAUGUUUGUUUGUUUGGCUGUUUCGUGUGCUUUUCGUAGCCGCCGUGGCCACCUCUCCUGCUGCGGUCGCUCCUUCUUCCUUUCUGUUAACCCACUGCUGUGUUCUUUCCCUGGUGGCCAUCGCCUGCGCUCUCAUGUAUACACACAUACAUAUAUAUAUAUAUAUAUAUAUAUAUGUAUGCUCUUUGUUGUUGUUCGAAUGACGUGGCCGCACCGCAUCAAACAUGUCAUGUAUCUCCCUUGUAUGUGUGCACGCUGGACCCUUUCCUUCUCCCUCUCUCCACAUACGCGCAUGCGCAGCGCACUUCGUGGAUGACGACAUCAACACGUGACAAGGACUUGGAAAAAAAAAGCAAAAAGAUAGCGACAUCACGGAACUGGACACCACCUCCUCGCCAACUGCAAUGCUGAUAGGCGUCGGCGAUGGUCGUUGCAUCGGGUGCCGAAACACGACAUGG
This 4198-nucleotide unclassified non-coding RNA is filed under the name Leishmania donovani. RNAcentral describes it as "gene:LdHU3.28.1730(CDS-product:hypothetical_prote in_conserved)". Lineage: Eukaryota; Euglenozoa; Kinetoplastea; Trypanosomatida; Trypanosomatidae. The record is from RNAcentral.